Molecule: non-coding RNA, 163 nt
Filed under: uncultured Methylomarinum sp.
Lineage: Bacteria; Pseudomonadati; Pseudomonadota; Gammaproteobacteria; Methylococcales; Methylococcaceae
Source: RNAcentral
ACUGCGAAGGGAUGAGAGAAGGAAGGUCGAGUGCAAAACUGCGAGUCUACGAAUAGAAAUGUCAUAUAUGGCCGCGUCUCAGGGGGCGAGUUAACCCGUGAUAACGAAAUCCACUGAUAUCGCGGGAUACGGUAAAUGGCAAGGUUGUGCAGCGAAAGUUUAU